RNAcentral lists this ribosomal RNA (275 nucleotides) under Mycobacterium szulgai. Lineage: Bacteria; Bacillati; Actinomycetota; Actinomycetes; Mycobacteriales; Mycobacteriaceae. The record is from RNAcentral.
AAGGAGCACCACGAAAAGCAUCCCAACUGGUGGGGUGCGAGCCGUGAGGGGUUCUCGUCUGUAGUGGACGAGGGCCGGGUGCGCGGCAACGAACAAGCCAGACACACUAUUGGGUCCUGAGGCAACACUCAGGCUUGGCCAGAGCUGUUGUCCCACCAUCUUGGUGGUGGGGUGUGGUGUUUGAGAAUUGGAUAGUGGUUGCGAGCAUCAAUUGGAUGCGCUGCCCUCGUGGUGGCGUGUUCUUUUGUGCAAUUUUAAUUCUUUGGUUUUUGUGU